AAUUUUCUCCAGAAUGGGAGAGACCAUGAUCAUGAAGGUGAUUUUUCCAGGGCAAGGCUCACCAACUACAAGGUGGAUGUGCUUACCCCUGCAGUUUGCUCAAAUGUGGGAAAUCCAAUUGCAUGAUUUGUGAAUGUGGAGGACUAUGCUAACCUUUUCUCUGU
Molecule: small nuclear RNA, 164 nt
Organism: Cricetulus griseus (Chinese hamster)
Lineage: Eukaryota; Metazoa; Chordata; Mammalia; Rodentia; Cricetidae
Gene: U1
Rfam family: U1 spliceosomal RNA
About the family: U1 is a small nuclear RNA (snRNA) component of the spliceosome (involved in pre-mRNA splicing). Its 5' end forms complementary base pairs with the 5' splice junction, thus defining the 5' donor site of an intron.
Source: Ensembl